AGUGAACGCUGGCGGUAGGCCUAACACAUGCAAGUCGAACGGCAGCACAGUAAGAGCUUGCUCUUACGGGUGGCGAGUGGCGGACGGGUGAGGAAUACAUCGGAAUCUACUUUUUCGUGGGGGAUAACGUAGGGAAACUUACGCUAAUACCGCAUACGACCUACGGGUGAAAGCAGGGGAUCUUCGGACCUUGCGCGAUUGAAUGAGCCGAUGUCGGAUUAGCUAGUUGGCGGGGUAAAGGCCCACCAAGGCGACGAUCCGUAGCUGGUCUGAGGGGAUGAUAAGCCCCAUGGGAACGGAGACACGGCCCAGCCCCCUAGGGGGGGGAGCGGUGGGGAAUUUUGGAAAAGGGGCGAAAGCCUGACCCAGCCAUACCGCGUGGGGGAAAAAGGCCUUCGGGUUGUAAAGCCUUUUUGUUGGGAAAAAAAAGCAGCAGGUUAAUACCCCGCUGUUCUGACGGUACCAAAAGAAUAAGCACCGGCUAACUUCGU
Molecule: ribosomal RNA, 491 nt
Filed under: uncultured bacterium
Lineage: Bacteria
Description: partial 16S ribosomal RNA
Rfam family: Bacterial small subunit ribosomal RNA
Source: RNAcentral